UACGAAGGGUGCAAGUGUUACUCGGAAUUACUGGGCGUAAAGCGUGCGUAGGUGGUUUGUUAAGUCUGAUGUGAAAGCCCUGGGCUCAACCUGGGAACGGCAUUGGAUACUGGCUUACUAGAGUGCGGUAGAGGGUAGUGGAAUUCCCGGUGUAGCAGUGAAAUGCGUAGAUAUCGGGAGGAACAUCUGUGGCGAAGGCGACUACCUGGACCAGCACUGACACUGAGGCACGAAAGCGUGGGAGCAAACAGG
Molecule: ribosomal RNA, 252 nt
Filed under: uncultured bacterium
Lineage: Bacteria
Description: partial 16S ribosomal RNA
Rfam family: Bacterial small subunit ribosomal RNA
Source: RNAcentral